Molecule: ribosomal RNA, 301 nt
Filed under: uncultured bacterium
Lineage: Bacteria
Description: partial 16S ribosomal RNA
Rfam family: Bacterial small subunit ribosomal RNA
Source: RNAcentral
CAGUCGCCACGGUAAUACGAAGGGGGCUAGCGUUGCUCGGAAUGACUGGGCGUAAAGGGCGCGUAGGCGGCGAUCAAAGUCAGGCGUGAAAUUCCUGGGCUCAACCUGGGGGCUGCGUUUGAUACUUGAUUGCUAGAGUGGGGAAGAGGGUCGUGGAACUCCCAGUGUAGAGGUGAAAUUCGUAGAUAUUGGGAAGAACACCGGUGGCGAAGGCGGCGACCUGGUCCUUGACUGACGCUGAGGCGCGAAAGCGUGGGGAGCAAACCGGAUUAGAUACCCCCGUAGUCCCUGUCUCUUAUAC